Molecule: long non-coding RNA, 397 nt
Filed under: Homo sapiens (human)
Lineage: Eukaryota; Metazoa; Chordata; Mammalia; Primates; Hominidae
Description: long non-coding RNA NONHSAT051828.2
Source: RNAcentral
AAAGUCCUUUGCACAUUGUGCCAGCGUCUACAAGGUGGGGCCCUGCAGGGGCCACGUGGCCAUGGGGCAGGGUCUGUCCCUCCAGCUGUGCCUCGGCCACCCCAGGACUGUACCUCAUACCACUCUCUGCCCACAGCACCAUUACAUGGACGGGCAGACCCCCUGCCUCUUUGUCUCCUCCAAGGCCGACCUGCCCGAAGGUGUCGCGGUGUCUGGCCCAUCACCGGCCGAGUUUUGCCGCAAGCACCGGCUACCCGCUCCCGUGCCGUUCUCCUGUGCUGGCCCAGCCGAGCCCAGCACCACCAUCUUCACCCAGCUCGCCACCAUGGCCGCCUUCCCACAUUUGGUCCACGCAGAGCUGCAUCCCUCUUCCUUCUGGCUCCGGGGGCUGCUGGGG